RNAcentral lists this ribosomal RNA (218 nucleotides) under uncultured Glomeromycotina. Its description in RNAcentral is "partial small subunit ribosomal RNA". The stretch from base 48 to 218 matches the Rfam family "Eukaryotic small subunit ribosomal RNA", at positions 693 to 864 of the family's 1831-position model. The record is from RNAcentral. Lineage: Eukaryota; Fungi; Glomeromycota.
GGGUUCACCCAUUGGUCAGGCUUAAUUGUCUGUACUGGUGAGAUGAGUCUCUACCUUCUGAGGAACUUUCGUGCCAUUUAUUUGGUGUGGCUGGAAAUCAGGACUGUUACUUUGAAAAAAUUAGAGUGUUUAAAGCAGGCUAACGUCUGAAUACAUUAGCAUGGAAUAAUGAAAUAGGACGGACUGAUUCUAUUUCGUUGGUUUCUAGGAUCACCGUA